Paralichthys olivaceus (Japanese flounder) is the source of this 262-nucleotide non-coding RNA. The record is from RefSeq and is a predicted model, not a curated record. Lineage: Eukaryota; Metazoa; Chordata; Actinopteri; Pleuronectiformes; Paralichthyidae.
CUUCACCAUCACUAAUAUCACAGCUGAACAUGGUGGAAAUUAUCGGUGUGAGGCUCAGAACAGACGAGGACGUAGUGACGCCUCCUUACAUGUGACUGUUGGAGCAGUUUGGACUUCAGCAGUCAUUGGAUCAGCCGCUGCAGCUUUCCUCGCUGUAACUCUCCUCGCUGUAACUCUCCUCUCCGUUUUCUUUCUGAUCAGAAAAAAGAGAAACUCUCAUCAAUCUCCUGAUCCUGGGGACAGACUUGACCACAGUGAGCAG